GGCCGCCUGGCGAAAUGGCAUCGCGUCUGACUACGAUUUCCAAUUGGCUCUGUAAUCAGGAGAUUGCAGGUUCGACCCCUGCGGUGGUCA
Molecule: non-coding RNA, 90 nt
Organism: Mycena latifolia
Lineage: Eukaryota; Fungi; Basidiomycota; Agaricomycetes; Agaricales; Mycenaceae
Source: the annotation of a GenBank genome assembly